GGCUGCGAGUGCCGCCCGGCCAGCGCCCCCAGCCUGCACGGAGGGAACAAGGUGCUGGGGGGUGUCUCACCGUCCCCACCGGCCGACGACUCGUACGAAGAUGCCGAACUCAGGAGCGGAUGCUCCGGCGGGGCCGACACCGACAGCAGCCACUACGAGUCGUACGAGGAGGAGGAGGAGGAGGAGGAGGGUGUGACGGACCGUGCCCACUACCUGAGGUGGCC
Molecule: long non-coding RNA, 224 nt
Organism: Neopelma chrysocephalum (saffron-crested tyrant-manakin)
Lineage: Eukaryota; Metazoa; Chordata; Aves; Passeriformes; Pipridae
Exons: 3
Source: RefSeq, a predicted model, not a curated record